Molecule: ribosomal RNA, 254 nt
Filed under: uncultured bacterium
Lineage: Bacteria
Description: partial 16S ribosomal RNA
Rfam family: Bacterial small subunit ribosomal RNA
Source: RNAcentral
UACAGAGGGGGCUAGCGUUGUUCGGAAUUACUGGGCGUAAAGGGCGCGUAGGUCGCCUGUUAAGUCGAACGUGAAAUCCCCGGGCUCAACCCGGGAACUGCGUCCGAGACUGGCAGGCUCGAAUCCGGGAGAGGGAUGUGGAAUUCCAGGUGUAGCGGUGAAAUGCGUAGAUAUCGGGAGGAACACCAGUGGCGAAGGCGACUACCUGGCCUGUUUCUUGACGCUGAGGCGCGAAAGCUAGGGGAGCAAACGGG